Molecule: small nucleolar RNA, 95 nt
Filed under: Trichophyton rubrum BMU01672
Lineage: Eukaryota; Fungi; Ascomycota; Eurotiomycetes; Onygenales; Arthrodermataceae
Description: CD-box snoRNA
Source: RNAcentral
UUUAUGAUGAAAGCAAGUUGGUCCGUGUUGAUGAGGCGGCUUAAGACACCGCCGAGUGACUAAAACACAAUUGUCCUUGUGACGUUUCUGAAAAA